RNAcentral lists this long non-coding RNA (3015 nucleotides) under Homo sapiens (human). Its description in RNAcentral is "non-protein coding KTN1-AS1:9". Lineage: Eukaryota; Metazoa; Chordata; Mammalia; Primates; Hominidae. The record is from RNAcentral.
AUAACUUCGCCGGUGUCGAGAGUGGUCCAUGGAUUUUUCCAAAGUCCCCCCUCAUGCUGCUUUCCGUGCCCAACCGCCUCCCGCCCUGACCUGGGGACUCGCAAAGGGCAGCGGGAGGGGCGCCGGGGAAGGGGGCGAGCGCCCAGACCGCCGGAGGCAGCGGCGAGGACUGGAACUCCAGCAUGGCGAUUACUCUGCCCCUCAGCGGUUCCAGUGCCCUCAAAGCAAUCUGUCUCUGAAGUACUGGCUAUCUUCUGAGCGUGUGCCAGAAGAUCCAGCUUUGUUGAAAAGCGAAGCCGUUAGUCCCUUAAUACAAAGGAUCAGGGAUAGCAGAAAUGAAAGUAUAAUGGAAGCAGCUGGAGGAUUCCAGGUCCACUUUCACCCAAGUAAUGGAGACGGAAGGUUCAUCGAAACUUCUUCAGCUGCAGAUCUAGAAGUCAUUAGCUAUUCUAGCAAAGUAUCUGUCACAGAAAGGUGCUUCAUAAAGGUCUGCACUGUGCUCUUUUGACCUGUGUCUUCAAGCAUGUGCUGUCAUAACAGAUUAAAGAUGACUGAAAAUUAUCUGCCACUCAUUGCGUGAAAGGUGGGAUCUGUAGACCUCCCUCUUGAAUUUGGGAGGGUUCUGUGACUGCUGUGACCAAUGAAUAUGGCAGAAGUGACGCUUUGCCAACUUCUGGGUCCAGGCUAUACGAGACAGGCAGUUCCACUCACUGUCUCUUAGAUCCAUGUAAAAAGUUCAUCUACCCUGCUGGAAAAACCAUGUAGAGAGGCCCUGAGACUACAUUGGGUGGGAGAGGGGCUCAGCUGCACCAUCUUCCAACUGUCCCCAUCAAGAUGACAGAAAUAUAAAUGAAGCCUUCUUGAACUCCAGACCAUCCAUGCUACAAGCUAAAUGCCACCAAGCGACCCCAGUUAAUACCAUGUGGAGCAAAAAUAUCACUUAACCAAGCACUGCCUGAGUUUCUGACCCCACAGAAUUCUGACCCCAUACAAAUAAAAUAAUUUUUGUAAUUUUUUAUAAUUCGUCAUGUAAUAGAUAAAUGGAACAGCCUUCUUCCAGUCUUUUAAAUAGCUGCAAGAAAUCUUAUUCAAGCAGAAGGAAGUUUCUACUUUGUUCAUACAGUCUCAAGACAUCCCUGGAGCCUUUCAAGGGAAAUUUGGGCAGAAGUAGGUAGAGAGGUAAAGCUAUUAUGUAACAUUACUUAACAUGAUUAAAACCACCUUAAUGUCUCCCAUCCUCAAAGGCUGCCAGUGAAUUGGAAAUUAAUGGAUUAAAUGAGGACAGAGAAACUAGUAUUUGUGCAUAUGCACUGUGCCAGGUAUUUAACGUAUCUUAGCUCAUGUGGUCUUCGAAACAACCCCAUAUUGUAGUAUCAGGCUCACACGGGUAACUAACUAGUGCAAAGACACAAGGCUCACAAACUGCUACUUGACCCUAGAGCUCUUUGACUCCGAUUCCCAUGUACGUGCCCCAAUACCAUGUUGACUCCCAAGGUGUAAAUCUUCAGGUAUACAAACUAUUAAAAUGUGAAUUUUCAUUUAUACGCAAUUUUUGCUUAUGAUAUGUUUUUUGUCACUUGCAUAAUAAUAGAUAUGUAACUUUAAAUCAGCAAUAUUAUACUGGCUAUCAACCAGUUUCAUGUAAAUUUUUCUAACAGAAAGAAUGUAGCAUUGAAAUGUGUACAUUUUUGUCCAAGUACACCUGGCAAUUGAAAGAAAAAAUCCAAGCCACUUGGAUGCUUGAUUUUGUGAUUUUUUUUUAUACACUUCCUUAUAAGAAUUUUUUUUAGGUAUUGAAUUUGCAACUACAAAACCUGAUUUUCCUCCCGGUUCUGUCCCUUUCUAGUAAUGAGACAUUGGACAAGUCACUUCACUUCCCAGAGCUUUAGUUUCCUCACUAGUUAGUGGAGGCCAAGAGUUAGCUCUAAGAGUGUGAGAAUUAUUAAUAAAUGAGAUAAUGUAUUUUAAAAUAUUUUUAAACUACAAAAUAGCAUAUAACUAUAUAACAGAGUAACCACCUCAUAGGGUCUAAAUAUAAAUAGGCAUUAUUUAACCUAUAAUGUAUCUGAAUAAUAAUAACCACCCUAGUAGCUACUUUUCAUAUACUAUAUAUAAUUGCCAAUUAUAACAACCUCAUGGGAUGUAAUUAUGCUCACUUUACAGAUGAGAAAGCAGGCUUAGGAAAGGAAAUAAUUCACAGCAAAGAAGUGUGCAAAAGGAGGAAAAAAUAGAAAGAAUGAAUAAAAUAACUUGCCUAAGGUCAAAUGGCUACUAAGUGGCAGAGCUGGGACUGAAACUCUAAAGUUCAAGCUCCUUCCUCUCUACCAAACUAUUCCCUACAUGCCAACAGGCUAGUUUACAACCUGCUUGAACAGCAGGAGAAAAGGGAGAUUUGAUCUCUUUCUUCUCACUUUUAGCCCAAACCACUCUUAGCCUCACCACAUAGGUGGGAAUCCUUUUUUGCAGGGGCGGAAGGACAAUGUCUCACUCCUGAUGCCCAGGCUGGAGUGCAGUGGCGCAAUGUCAGCUCACUGCAGCCUUGACCUCUGGGGCUCAAGCAGUCUACCUACGUCAGCCCCCUCAAAUAGCUGGGACUACAGGCACACGCCACCACACUAGGCUAAAUUUUUUAUUUUUUGUAGAGACAGGGUUUCGCCAUUUUGCCCAGGGUGGUCUCGAACUCCUGGGCUCAAGUGAUCUGUUCGCCUCAACCUCCCAAUGGGCUGGGAUUACAGGCGCGAGCCACAGUUCCCAACCUUUAUUUUUAAAAGCUUUACAUAUAAUUCAACACCCUUUCUCAGCAGCUACUUACCCAGUGUUUAAAGGUUUAAUGUUCUUCACAGUUAUGUAAUUCUUCUAUCACUCUGAACUCAAUCUUAGAACCUUUUUUUUUCUUUUUGAGACGGAGUUUUGCUCUCGUUGCCCAGGCUGGAAUGCAGUGGCGCAAUCUCGGCUCACCGCAACCUCUGCCUCCCGGGUUCAAACGAUUCUCCUGCCUCAGCCUCCCGAGUAGCU